Lactuca sativa (garden lettuce) is the source of this 1122-nucleotide non-coding RNA. NCBI's taxonomy places the organism in Eukaryota, Viridiplantae, Streptophyta, Magnoliopsida, Asterales, Asteraceae. The record is from RefSeq and is a predicted model, not a curated record.
UUCAUUUGCCAAUUUCCUAUAAAUCCUGUACAUGGUUCUUCCUAAUCGAUUUUCAUACUCUUCUCAUAUUUCCUAAACCCUAAUUGAUUUCUGUUGGACUUCUCUAGGUCUAAAUUGAUGCUAUCCAAGGAAAUCUACAUCCACAAAUCGAUUUUCCUACAAAUCUUCUAUAAGGUCAUAAUCGAUUUUCUUUCAUGGCUUGUAUGAAGUACGCUCUUCUUUCUUUUGGAUCAUGACACUAGGUUUUCUUUAUGGUAAGUGAAGAUCAACGGUCUAUUAGUUCAAGCCAACUAUGAUAAUACACUCGAUUUGUAUGGAGGUGAAGCUUAGACUAGUUGGACGGAAGUUGAGAAAAAGGAGUGCAAGCCUUAGCUCAAAUUCAACUACACCUACACAAUAUAUACGCCAAGAAGUGCUCAACGAAAAUACUACUAUUGUUUUAUGGUUAAAACUUGAAUCGAUCGGCACGAAGAAGAAUCUCACAAGUAAGGAUUAAUCGUUAGGCGCCUUCAGUCGGUCGUGUAGCGCCAGGACUAAUGGAGAUUAAUCGAGACCUAGCUAGGAUUUUUACAACACUGUUUAACUUCUAUUUGGUUAUAGGUGGUUCGGGUAAGCUCUUAAUUAUCCAAGAAUGUGAGACUAUUGUUAUUAACUUCAGGUGAGUCUUUUCAUUAUAUUACUUAUUUUAUGAUUGGAUCAUCUGUGUGUUGAAUGCAUGUAUAAUACUACGACAUGUUAGUAUGCUUAGCUAGACUAAUAGAGUCUUGAUUAUGGAUUAUGGUUUGAAGCUUGUUGCUUGUUUGCUUGUUGAUUGGUAGGUUAUGUGCCUUGUCGGGCUGAUGAUAAGAUCGGGGUAGGCCAUGAAUGAAACAGUGCUCUCUAGGUUAAUGACAAUAUCAGGAUAAGCUGUGAGUCAAAGAGUACUUGAUUGGGAUGAUACAAAAAUUGGAACUAGCCGUGAGCUAAAGAGGCCCAAUACUUCAUGUUGUGCUACUGGCAAUGGGAAGGCUCUAGCUUGACUGUGACACAUGCACAUCUCCCAUUUUAUGAUAUUUGACUUCCACACGUUCUGGAUUAUUAUGUUGAUUUGAAACUAUGGUACUUGGAUUUUAUAAAACGUGA